Molecule: long non-coding RNA, 357 nt
Filed under: Linum usitatissimum (flax)
Lineage: Eukaryota; Viridiplantae; Streptophyta; Magnoliopsida; Malpighiales; Linaceae
Description: long non-coding RNA (LUSI_LNC005681)
Source: RNAcentral
CGUAUUCUAACAUCACCUUAGUUGGCGUAGUAUUGCUACUACUUUUUUUUGAUCUAAUAGUAUUGUUACUACUGAGGUUGAGUGUAUGAAGUAUGUGAUGAUGUUGCAGAUGGGAAGGCACGAGGAACUCGUACAGAAAGGGGGCCUAUAUUCUCAUCUUGUAAAGUUACAAUCCAGCUUCAUCACUUGACAGAGAGGGUUCAAUUAGUGGAUAUGGAGAGCACGCUCUAGAGGCUCGGUGGAGAAGUCUCCAAGCUGAGGAACUUGUUGAUGAGGAAGCCCUUUCACUGCGGCUGCUUCUCCCUCUUGCUUUUCCUCCGCCGCCGCGUCGUCAACCACCCCUUCCACUUCCUUGUG